This 258-nucleotide ribosomal RNA is filed under the name uncultured archaeon. Its description in RNAcentral is "partial 16S ribosomal RNA". It matches the Rfam family "Archaeal small subunit ribosomal RNA", at positions 721 to 982 of the family's 1478-position model. The record is from RNAcentral.
UACAUUUAGAUACCCCUGUAGUCCCAGCCGUAAACUAUGCUCGCUAGGUGUCAGGCAUGGCGCGACCGUGCCUGGUGCCGCAGGGAAGCCGUGAAGCGAGCCACCUGGGAAGUACGGCCGCAAGGCUGAAACUUAAAGGAAUUGGCGGGGAGCACCACAACGGGUGGAGCCUGCGGUUUAAUUGGACUCAACGCCGGGAAGCUCACCGGAUAAGACAGCGGAAUGAUUGCCGGGCUGAAGACUCUGCAUGACUAGCUG